Trichoplusia ni (cabbage looper) is the source of this 389-nucleotide long non-coding RNA. RefSeq lists it as uncharacterized. The transcript has 2 exons. NCBI's taxonomy places the organism in Eukaryota, Metazoa, Arthropoda, Insecta, Lepidoptera, Noctuidae. The record is from RefSeq and is a predicted model, not a curated record.
UUGGACGGACGCAUACCUCUGUCACAAGUAGGCUACAUAAUAAGUCGCUUCGUUAAAUAAACAACAUUUUGAAAUUCGUUGUGGUUCGAGCAUUAUAUAAAUAAAAUAUUCCAUCAUGGGUUUAUGCUGUAGUUCAUGCUGUGGUGAUGACGACAACACAGUACAUGUUGUGGACAACGUAGACCACGGCUUCCACCAGCCCCCACCACACAGCGUCCACGUAGUCGACCACGAUCCCGGAAUGGAAAUGCAAAGAUGAUCCUGGACUAACUUCGUAGCAUAAUACAACCAAUUUAUUCUAAUUUAAUAAUUUAUGUGCAUUCACGAAAACGACUCUACUAUUUGAUUAUUCUAUGUAUUAAGGAAAUACAUUUCUUUUACAUAAACUG